Diorhabda sublineata is the source of this 465-nucleotide long non-coding RNA. RefSeq lists it as uncharacterized. The transcript has 3 exons. NCBI's taxonomy places the organism in Eukaryota, Metazoa, Arthropoda, Insecta, Coleoptera, Chrysomelidae. The record is from RefSeq and is a predicted model, not a curated record.
UGUCGGAAAAUUGGAUCGUUCCCAAUAUGAUAUUGUUUAAAAUCUAUCGGAAGAUCCAGGUGAGCGCAGAAAAAUUUGUGGUAGUGCCAGAAACACUACAAGAUAACUGUGAUAUUUAAUUAGAUUUCGAGUUUUAAAAAUAACAGAAACAUGCUUACGUAUCUUAGGAACCCGAUAUCGGGAUACGAAUAUUCGUUUUGGCCCGACGCGAAAUUUUUUUAUCAUUACAAAAUCUACCGACCCCUAACUUUCCAUCAAGACUGGCCCAUUACUGGUAGAGAGUGGUAUCCGGAAUAUUGGCCCAGCUAUCAUUCAUAUUGGCAUUAUUUAAAGGAUGUACCUAGCGAAAGGGCUUUCUCUACGGUUAGGGUAAAUAACAAUUUGUAUUGGACAGAUUCCAUCCUUCCAUAAAAAUUAAUCCUUAUAUUUAUAUCUUAAAAUUAGAAUAAAUAUUUAUUUAUAAUA